This 253-nucleotide ribosomal RNA is filed under the name uncultured bacterium. Its description in RNAcentral is "partial 16S ribosomal RNA". It matches the Rfam family "Bacterial small subunit ribosomal RNA", at positions 524 to 776 of the family's 1533-position model. The record is from RNAcentral.
UACGGAGGGGGCUAGCGUUGUUCGGAAUUACUGGGCGUAAAGCGCACGUAGGCGGCUUGGAAAGUUGGAGGUGAAAGCCCAGAGCUCAACUCUGGAAUUGCCUUCAAAACUCCCAAGCUGGAGUUCGGAAGAGGAGAGUGGAAUUCCCAGUGUAGAGGUGAAAUUCGUAGAUAUUCGGCGGAACACCAGUGGCGAAGGCGACUCACUGGCCCGAUACUGACGCUGAGGCGCGAAAGCGUGGGGAGCAAACAGG